UUGAUUCGGAUCCAUUAGAAACAAAAGAACCCCUUAUCCCUCUUUUGCAGAAACCCUAGCGUCAAAAUCUCUUAGCCAAUCUCUAAGCCAAUUCCUUCUUCUUCCCUUCAAUGCACAGCGAUCUACAAGAUGAUAAAGGCGUUUGGUUUAUGAUGUGCUUUUGAAGCAGGCAACUUUAGUUAAAGAUCAAGUUAUUGAGGCUAAACUAGAUAUUAUGCUUCUUUAAAUAGUUGGGUUAUUGAGUGAAUCUUUUGGUCUUUUGACAGAAGUGAAGAAGUUUGUUCAGAGUAUGCCAAGACACUCUAUUUAGAUGAUGUUGCUUCAGUUGCACUCAUUCCAACUCCAGUUUCAGUUUCAACAAAUCCAAAGUGGCUACUGAACUCGCAUUAAAAUACAUUACACUUAGACCUUUCAGCUGGGAUCAAGAUACUGACAAAGUCAAGGGUAAUACCAACGGUUCUAGGAACAAAACCAGAAUUACUCAGACAAUUUAUGUGUUCUUUUGAACGAAGAUAGAAUCUUGAUUAUAAAAAAGAACUCCAAAUCUAAUGAAUCUGUAUGGUUUCUUGAGGUAAGUAUUCACAUUUAUUGAUCUUGAAAUGAUAGCGUUCAUUAGGUUUUAUUAGGUGGACACACAAUUUAGACGAGAACAAAAAAGUUUGAAACAAAAGUUGUUGCUUGGAGUAAGGGGUUAUUGGUAAUGCUGAGCGGCCCAUAGUAAUUAGUAGCCCGUGUAUGUCGGGUUUGUAAUAUGUCAAAAACGUUUUGUCAAGUGAUGGUUUGAUUUGAAUUCACUAAAUUUUAUGGUUUGCAAGUAUAUCAUGAAGAUAUGAAGAUGUUUUGAUGAUGAUACCAAGUUUAAACCACUAUAACUAAAUGAAAUUAUUCUGACUUAUUUAGAGAUGUAUGAACAAUUUAUAUAUUUUGUUUAAAAAUUAUGUGUAUUUAAUUUUCAACUUAUUUAAGUUAAUAUAUUUUAUUUCACUUGAUUAUAAAUUAAAGCUGUAUAAUAUUUUCAUUUGUUAAACCGCGUGUGUACGCGGGCUCUAACCUAGUAUAUAUUAAACCAUAUCAUGUUAGCUACAUGAGCUUUUUUAUAUUUGUUUUUAGCUAUAAUUUUUUUUUAACUUUUUUUGUUUUACCACUAAAGUAUCACAUGUUUGCUAUAUGUAUUAUAUAAAUAAAUAUCAUAAAAUAAUAAUACACUCUUAUAUCAAAUCUUUUCGGCUUUAGAUAUUUAUGAUGAUUAUUAUUGGUGAAACAUAAGUGGUUAAAACUUAAAAAUUUAAUUUAUUUUGAUUUUACGUCAUCUAUAUUAUUUUUUUACACUUCUAUUUAUUGAACCGUUUAUUGUAUAUUAAAUAACAUCACAAAAAUAAUUAUAGCCGCUACAUUGUUUUUUUUUUUUUGAGUUUUUUUAUGUUUGUUUUUUAGCUACAAUUUUUUUUUUUUUUGAUUUACCAGUAAAGUAUCACAUGUUUGCUAUAUGUAUUAUAUAAAUAAAUAUCAUAAAAUAAUAAUACACUCUUAUAUCAAAUUUUUUCGGCUUUAUAUUUUUUAUGAUCAUUAUUAUUAUUGGUGAAACAUAAGUGGUUAAAAAUUAAAAAUAUUAAUUUAUUUUGCUUUUACGUCGUCUAUACUUAUAUUUAUUAAACCGUUUAUUUUAUAUUAAAUAAUAUCACAAAAAUAACUAUAGCCACUAUAUUGUUUUUUUUUAAAGUUAUUUUUUAUGUUUGCUUUUUAGCUACAACUUGUUUUUACUUUAUUGUUUUACCACUAAAGUAUCACAUGUUUGCUAUAUGUAUUAUAUAAAUAAAUAUCACAAAAUAAUAAUACACUCUUAUAUCAAAUCUUUUCGAUUUUAGAUUUUUUAUGAUCGUUAUUAUCGGUGAAACAUAAGUAGUUAAAAAUUAAAAAUGUUAAUUUAUUUUGAUUUACAUCGUCUAUAUUAUUUUUUACACUUCUAUUUAUUAUACCGUUUAUUUUAUAUUAGAUAACAUCACAAAAAUAACUAUAGCCGCUACAUUGUUUUUUUUUUAAGUUUCAAAUCAAUGCUUAUACAAUAAAUAAUAUACGCUUUUAGCCAAUAAUUUCAUUUUUAUCUUAUAACUUUCGGAUGUCAGCUUUUUUAGAAAAAAACUAAAUAAGCGAUGUGAAUUCUUAUGAAAACGGCGCAAUUUGGGUCGCUACAUCACGUCACCACAUGUUUCUUUUAAUUGCUAUAAUUUAUUUUGUUUUUGUUGUUACAUUUAUAUAUUGCAACUUCGUAGAGUUUGGUUCGUCCAAAGAUUUCACACCAUGCGAUGGGAAAAUCCUAAUUAAGGUUUAAACAUUGGGAUUUUUGUGGGUGAACAAUAAAUCGAAAAUUCCAUUCCUUAAAUGAGAUUGUUGGUGUAAUUUUUAAUUUUUGUAAUCCGUCCCGUACAUUUAUAUAAUAUCAAUUUGAAACACAUGUUGGCAUCAAGGGUUGUAUUAUAUAUUUCAUGGGUUGUACUUAACAUAUGUUGACAUCAAGGGUUAUACCAUAAGUUUGAUGAGUUGUACUUAUAUUUUUGUUCUUUUAUCUCUAAAAUGUAAAACAUAUAAAGUGAUUGGUUAGAAUCACUUUUAACCCAUACAAAUUUUUUGUGUUAUGUU
RNAcentral lists this long non-coding RNA (2637 nucleotides) under Helianthus annuus (common sunflower). RNAcentral describes it as "hypothetical non coding rna". The record is from RNAcentral. Lineage: Eukaryota; Viridiplantae; Streptophyta; Magnoliopsida; Asterales; Asteraceae.